GUGUCUGUAGCUUAACAGGUAAAGCUCCGCACUCUUAAUGCGGACAAUGGGAGUUCAAGUCUCUUCGGGCAAACAA
RNAcentral lists this transfer RNA (76 nucleotides) under Imperialibacter sp. EC-SDR9. RNAcentral describes it as "tRNA-Lys". It matches the Rfam family "tRNA". From Rfam's summary of the family: Transfer RNA (tRNA) molecules are approximately 80 nucleotides in length. Their secondary structure includes four short double-helical elements and three loops (D, anti-codon, and T loops). The record is from RNAcentral. RNAcentral also lists the same sequence under 2 other names. Lineage: Bacteria; Pseudomonadati; Bacteroidota; Cytophagia; Cytophagales; Flammeovirgaceae.